This is a non-coding RNA of Trichonephila clavata, 74 nucleotides long. The record is from the annotation of a GenBank genome assembly. NCBI's taxonomy places the organism in Eukaryota, Metazoa, Arthropoda, Arachnida, Araneae, Nephilidae.
GUCCCUGUAGCGCAAUGGAUAGCGCGUUGGACUUUUAAUCCAAGCUGUCGUGGUUUCCAAUCCCACUUGAGAUG